Molecule: ribosomal RNA, 442 nt
Filed under: uncultured bacterium
Lineage: Bacteria
Description: bacterial SSU rRNA
Rfam family: Bacterial small subunit ribosomal RNA
Source: RNAcentral
CUGGCUCAGAACGAACGCUGGCGGCAUGCCUAACACAUGCAAGUCGAACGAAGCCUUCGGGCUUAGUGGCGCACGGGUGCGUAACACGUGGGAAUCUGCCCUUCGGUUCGGAAUAACAGUUAGAAAUGACUGCUAAUACCGGAUGAUGACGUAAGUCCAAAGAUUUAUCGCCGAAGGAUGAGCCCGCGUAGGAUUAGGUAGUUGGUAGGGUAAUGGCCUACCAAGCCGACGAUCCUUAGCUGGUCUGAGAGGAUGAUCAGCCACACUGGGACUGAGACACGGCCCAGACUCCUACGGGAGGCAGCAGUGGGGAAUAUUGGACAAUGGGCGAAAGCCUGAUCCAGCAAUGCCGCGUGAGUGAUGAAGGCCUUAGGGUUGUAAAGCUCUUUUACCAGGGAUGAUAAUGACAGUACCUGGAGAAUAAGCUCCGGCUAACUCCGUG